GGAGUUUCUCACAAGCUCCCUUAAAUCACUCGACAUCACUAAACCACCUCUUACUGGACCAUCACCGUUACUCGUUUGCAUCAAACCGGGUUGUUCAAACUGAGAUUCAGACGAGAAGCUUGAGGAGCAUGGUGAAGAUGAAAAGGACAGCCUAGAUGAUGAUUCAGAGGAGACUACUCCCCUCUGUUUCUCUUUUGCAGCCUUCUUCUUCUUACUCUUCUCCUGCAAUUCAGGUUUUGAGUUGAGAGAACAUUGCAAGCAAAGACUUAAAGAGAGAAAAAUGUUACCUGAAGGCAGAGACCUGAGUUCAUCUCCGGCUACAACAACACGUCUCGCAGGAUAAUGUUGCCGGUAAAAAACCUGGAAGAUCCCAUUCAUACAUCCAAACUGUUUAUUUAGAUUUGGAUUCUCAUCUGACAAGUUAUACAAAAGCUUUGCCGACAUCUUCUUAGCUCUGGUUCGUAUAAGGUUUAGUCUUCUUUUAUUUUCUCAUGUACAGUUCUUGAAAAUCUUCAGUUUCAGGAUUCUCCUUUGUUAUGUGUCUCAUUGAAAGUAGAAGAAGAGAGAGGAGGACAACGUAGAACCCAGCAUUUAGACAACGGUAAAGCUACUUUGUGAAGUUAUGACCAGACAAGAUAUUAGGUUUCUCUGUGUUUGUUCUCUUGGAUGGUUUCCUUGAAGAAGAAAGAAGAGGAGGAGAAAAUAAAAGUUUUUUUUUUCUUUUCUCCUUUGUGUUGUUUUGAGAGAAAUGAAUCUGUAAAAGGCUAAAGUACUCUCUACAAUUAUAUGGAGAAGCUCGUGAAAGCUCGUGAAGCAUAUAUAACAUCGGUUGUGUGA
Brassica napus (rape) is the source of this 837-nucleotide long non-coding RNA. RefSeq lists it as uncharacterized. The transcript is spliced from 2 exons. NCBI's taxonomy places the organism in Eukaryota, Viridiplantae, Streptophyta, Magnoliopsida, Brassicales, Brassicaceae. The record is from RefSeq and is a predicted model, not a curated record.